This 317-nucleotide non-coding RNA is filed under the name Cebus imitator (Panamanian white-faced capuchin). The record is from RNAcentral. Lineage: Eukaryota; Metazoa; Chordata; Mammalia; Primates; Cebidae.
AGGCACAAUGGCUCACGCCUGUAGUCCCAGCACUUUGGGAGGCCAAGGCGGGCAGAUCACUUGAAGUCAGGAGUUCAAGAUCAGACUGGCCAAUAUGGUGAGACCCUGUCUCUACUAAAAAUACAAAAAUCAGCGUGGACACCCAUCAGUAAUGGUGCCCUCCCAGGAGCGGGGAACCACCAGGUUGCCUAAGAAGGGUUGAACUGGCCCAGGUCAGAAAUAGAACAGGUCAAACUCCUGGGCUGGUCAGUAGUGAGAUUGCGCCUGUGAAUAGCCACUGCACUCCAGCCUGGGCAACAUAGCGAGACCCUGUCUCU